AUGGACUGCAGCAACCACGAGAAAAAACUCCAACGAUCCAACUUUAUCUUACCCCCGAGCAGGCGCACGACCCCCACCUCCUCCUACCUUCUUCCCCGCACGCACAUGCCCGCCGCCGGCGCGCCCCAUCCCGUGCCCUUCUUUGCCGCUGGUGCGCCCCAUCUCGUCGACUUAUUUGCCGCCGGUGUGCCCCUUCCCGCGGCCUUCCCCACCACCUCCCGCCCUGCUCCACCCUCCCUCGUCCCACCACCUCCUUGCCCCGAUCCACACCUUCCAGACCCCAACACCUCUACCAACGGCGCGCGCAGGUCUCCCUCCCACUACCGCCUCCCUCCUCUCUAG
RNAcentral lists this ribosomal RNA (342 nucleotides) under Triticum aestivum (bread wheat). RNAcentral's name for it is "partial small subunit ribosomal RNA". The record is from RNAcentral. Lineage: Eukaryota; Viridiplantae; Streptophyta; Magnoliopsida; Poales; Poaceae.